This 384-nucleotide ribosomal RNA is filed under the name uncultured bacterium. Its description in RNAcentral is "bacterial SSU rRNA". It matches the Rfam family "Bacterial small subunit ribosomal RNA", at positions 29 to 416 of the family's 1533-position model. The record is from RNAcentral.
AUUGAACGCUGGCGGCAUGCUUUACACAUGCAAGUCGAACGGUAACAGGCCUUCGGGUGCUGACGAGUGGCGAACGGGUGAGUAAUGCAUCGGAACGUGCCCAAUCGUGGGGGAUAACGUAGCGAAAGUUACGCUAAUACCGCAUAAGCCCUGAGGGGGAAAGCAGGGGAUCGCAAGACCUUGCGCGAAUGGAGCGGCCGAUGUCAGAUUAGCUAGUUGGUGGGGUAAAGGCCUACCAAGGCGACGAUCUGUAGCGGGUCUGAGAGGAUGAUCAGCCACACUGGGACUGAGGCACGGCCCAGACUCCUACGGGAGGCAGCAGUGGGGAAUAUUGGACAAUGGGCGAAAGCCUGAUCCAGCAACGCCGCGUGAGGGAUGACGGCC